RNAcentral lists this ribosomal RNA (681 nucleotides) under Halobacillus sp. CIBA BW13. Its description in RNAcentral is "bacterial SSU rRNA". It matches the Rfam family "Bacterial small subunit ribosomal RNA", at positions 171 to 836 of the family's 1533-position model. Lineage: Bacteria; Bacillati; Bacillota; Bacilli; Caryophanales; Bacillaceae. The record is from RNAcentral.
GGGUAAUACUUUCUUUCGCAUGAAGGAAAGUUGAAAGAUGGCUUCUUGCUAUCACUUACAGAUGGGCCCGCGGCGCAUUAGCUAGUUGGUGAGGUAACGGCUCACCAAGGCGACGAUGCGUAGCCGACCUGAGAGGGUGAUCGGCCACACUGGGACUGAGACACGGCCCAGACUCCUACGGGAGGCAGCAGUAGGGAAUCUUCCGCAAUGGACGAAAGUCUGACGGAGCAACGCCGCGUGAACGAUGAAGGUCUUCGGAUCGUAAAGUUCUGUUGUUAGGGAAGAACAAGUACCGUGCGAAUAGAGCGGUACCUUGACGGUACCUAACGAGGAAGCCCCGGCUAACUACGUGCCAGCAGCCGCGGUAAUACGUAGGGGGCAAGCGUUGUCCGGAAUUAUUGGGCGUAAAGCGCGCGCAGGCGGUUCCUUAAGUCUGAUGUGAAAGCCCACGGCUCAACCGUGGAGGGUCAUUGGAAACUGGGGAACUUGAGGACAGAAGAGGAGAGUGGAAUUCCACGUGUAGCGGUGAAAUGCGUAGAUAUGUGGAGGAACACCAGUGGCGAAGGCGACUCUCUGGUCUGUUUCUGACGCUGAGGUGCGAAAGCGUGGGUAGCAAACAGGAUUAGAUACCCUGGUAGUCCACGCCGUAAACGAUGAGUGCUAGGUGUUAGGGGGGCUUCC